UCGAUUUUUUUCAUUUCUCAUUUUCUUUCUCUUUUCUGCUCCUGCCUCUCUUCUCUUCAAUCCCUAAAAAGAUAUCAGAGAAACCCUAGUGAAACCAUUAGCUGAGAAAAGCUUAGAUUCAUAUUAGGAGUGAACUGGAAUCACGAUUCUAGAUCUGUAUUAAGGUUUCAAAAUAAGUUCAUCAGAAAGAGAAAAGACAAACCCUGGAACCCAGUAAACCAAAUCUGUAAUCGGAUUGUUUAGGUUUGUAAUCGGAUUCAUCCAGUGAAGUAAAUAGGUUUUUGAUGAGAUUGAUGUUGAUAUUAUUACUUCUAAGUGUUGCUGGUGGUGGUGUUGGUAUAUGAGGCUUUGUGUUCUCUGGUGGAGUUGCAACAGCUUCAGGUGGAGGUGGUUCUAUAGGGGGUUGAGUAGACUUUAAAGCAGAGGUAUAAAAAAUGAAUGAUUAAGAUGAUGAAGAAGAUGAGAGUGGCAGGGAGGUUUAUUCUUUGAAACCUUUAAGAGUAAUAUUUCAUUAUUUCUUUGAAGUCGUUUAAAAUUAUUAACAUUUUUUCUAAUUUAGGUCGUUUGAUUUUGCAGGAAGAUGAUAGGUAUAAGGAAAAGCAGCUCUAGUCCCCUUUUCAUUUUGGUUCUCUAGAUGUUUCUCUUAGUAAUUGUGCUGCUUAAUUCUCAGUUUUCAAAUCAAUAUAUAUUAUGUUUUAUGUGAUGAAGAAUAUUGGAGCAACAUGGUCUCACAAAAGAAGAGGUACAAAGAGAUACGAACGACUUAUCGGAAGAAAGUUUGAUGGUAAAGAGGUACAAAGAGAUACGAAACUCUUACCAUGUAAGAUUGUGAAAAAGGAAGGAAAGUUUUAUGUUGAGGACUUGAGGUUAAACUUAAGGAUGGGGAGACUUGAGGUUUUCAGUCCUGAGGAAAUUAGUGCUAUGAUUCUAACUAAGAUGAAGUAAACAGUUGAAGCUUUCCCAGGAAAGAAAGUUAAGGAUGCAGUCAUUAGUGUACUUGAGAUAGGCUACCAAGGAUGUUGUUGCGAUCGCUGGAUUAAAUGUAGCAAGAAUUGCGAGGACACUUUCACCACCAAGAGAGGUUGCAAGGCCUGAAUUGCUGAAGAACAGUUUUCCAGUGGGUUACCGUAUAUGGCUGGGUAAUUAUAUUUUUUUUCUCUACAGUCGGAUCUGAUGAGAUUUUAUAGAUUUCAUCUAGGGGAUACCAAUUUUGUUUUGCGCAAGUUUGAAAAAUGUGGGCUUUUAUUGAAGCAUGUUCCUGGCCCUGGUGUUGCUAAACUGGAUUAAUAUUCUCUAUCAGGACCCGAUAACUUGGACAACUUGAGGAAACUUGCAGAACAAUUCCAGAAGCAGAUGCGUGGUGGUGCAGGUGCCAUUCCAGGAACAAUCCCUGAGGAGGAUGACGAUGACGUGCCAGAGCUUGUGGCUGGAGAGACAUUCGAAGCCGCAGUCAACGAGGAAAAAGCAGCUUCCUAGAUAUAUUGUGGAAACAACUGAAGAACUUAGGAGGAAGAAGAAGAAGAAAGAAAGAAGAGAAGGCUUGUCAUUGUUUUCUCAGUUCCAUCUAAAUUAGUGUUUACCAACUCUUGCUGCAUUGAAUUGAUUAUGAUGAUUUUUGAUAGGCUGAGAUAAUUGAAGAGGUUGCCGUAAUGUCUUUCUUUCUUUCCUGCAAAGGAGCAAGAUUGUGCUUAAUAUCGUCGAGAUAGGCACCGGGGAUGAGCAGCUGGACCAAUCAGAUUCUAUGUAGGAAGUUAGUAAGUUUCUAUGUAUUGCAUUAGAAAUUUGGAACUUAAUUUCUAUCUAUUCCCUUAGAAUUUGAUACUUAACAAAAAUAUUGGUACUUAGAAGAAUUUGUGUACUUAACAAAAAAAAAUUGUACUUAGAAGAAUUUGUGUUGUUUUCCGACAUGAAUUGGUUGAAUGUAGUGUAAAUUGAUUGUUGAAUGUGAUAUGAAUUGAUUGUU
Molecule: long non-coding RNA, 1963 nt
Organism: Papaver somniferum (opium poppy)
Lineage: Eukaryota; Viridiplantae; Streptophyta; Magnoliopsida; Ranunculales; Papaveraceae
Exons: 9
Source: RefSeq, a predicted model, not a curated record